This 272-nucleotide ribosomal RNA is filed under the name uncultured bacterium. Its description in RNAcentral is "partial 16S ribosomal RNA". It matches the Rfam family "Bacterial small subunit ribosomal RNA", at positions 524 to 794 of the family's 1533-position model. The record is from RNAcentral.
UACGGAGGGUGCGAGCGUUGUUCGGAAUUAUUGGGCGUAAAGCGCGUGUAGGCGGUUUUAUAAGUCUGAUGUGAAAGCCCCGGGCUCAACCUGGGAAGUGCAUUGGAUACUGUAAGACUUGAGCACGGGAGAGGGGCAGUGGAAUUCCUAGUGUAGGAGUGAAAUCCGUAGGUAUUAGGAGGAACACCGGUGGCGAAGGCGGCUGCCUGGACCGAUACUGACGCUGAGACGCGGAAGCGUGGGGAGCAAACAGGAUUAGAAACCCCGGUAGU